UGUUGGUGCUUUAGCGGGAGGGGUACACCCGUUCUCAUUCCGAACACGGCAGUUAAGGCUCCCAUCGCCGAAGGUACUCCGCAAGGGGCAGAAUAGGUAGGCGCCAACAU
RNAcentral lists this ribosomal RNA (110 nucleotides) under Minisyncoccota bacterium. The record is from RNAcentral. Lineage: Bacteria; Bacillati; Minisyncoccota. RNAcentral also lists the same sequence under 1 other name.